This is an RNA transcript of Wyeomyia smithii (pitcher-plant mosquito), 4389 nucleotides long. It is a transcript of the gene named blood vessel epicardial substance, with no coding region annotated. The transcript is spliced from 9 exons. The record is from RefSeq and is a predicted model, not a curated record. NCBI's taxonomy places the organism in Eukaryota, Metazoa, Arthropoda, Insecta, Diptera, Culicidae.
ACUUGCUCGCGUGCUGAACGCUACACGACGUCGGUUCGCCGCUACUCCGGUUCACGGUUCGCACAAGGCUCGGGGAUCGGUUUUCUUCGUUUUACUAGCUUUACUCCAGCUAGCACCCAAACCCAACCCAGCGAUUUUUUUUUUGUGCUUGCUUGUACGGGCCGGACCCGUUCGAGAUCGUCAAGGGCGUCGCGGUUUAUUUGGUUUUUCGCUGGGUUUAAUUGGGCUGAAAUUUGUGCGAAAAGUUGCGAUUGCUACGCAAUCAAGGAAGUGAUUUUCGUGAGGUUUUGGCUGCCGAAAAGGCCUCCAAUUGAGAGAAAAAUAGGUGCCUACUACGAUGUGUGUGAUUUACUUGCCUUGAAAGCAGUGGGUUUAGCUGUGCGAAAAAAGAAAAAAAAGGAGAGAGAAGAAAGAAAUACACAGAAGAGAGUGCGUUGUGUUUGAGUGCAGCUUCGUAUCUUCGUGCGCUUGUGGAAUGAUUGCUUAUCGCUUUCUUCGCUCAGUGUAAGUGGCUUAAUACAGUAGAAGAAAAAAAACGACGACGACGUCGGAUAUGUGUAUUUGUGGCUAUCUCUUCUUAUGAUAAGAAUUUCCAACUGAAAAUAAUAGGAAGUGAGAAUUGUGCAUUUCCUACUGCUGCUGGUGUGAUUCAACCCCAUUGAAAUCUGCGGCUCUCAUCUAAUUACAAAACAUCAUCGUUGAAAAUCCAACCAUCGUUGUUAAUCGGAAAUUUAACAAUAUAAUUAGUGUGGUGCCGUACAGUUCAAUUAAACGAAAUAUUUUCCUAGAGAAUAAAAAUAUUAGCUAGACCGUGUUUGAGUGUGGUUUGUUCCCCCCGAAUUCGAAAAAAAAAACAACAAAAAUCAUUACUGUAAUCUCCAAUUGGCAUUCACCCGAAAAUGAUGUUUCCCUUCCACCCCAACCACAAGUGUAACACGGCGUGAGUUUCGCGUUAAUGCCCCCGAAACGUAAGCGCAAGAAGCGAUCUACACGCGAGUUCCAACAACGGUCCCCGGUGACCGUUUUGAGUGUCCCCGAUUCUUUCCGGCUUUCAGAAUGGAUCGGCUACAGCGCGUCAUAUUUCUGUUUGGCUGGGUGCUAGCUCUGGGUCUGGUGGAGACUUCCAGCCCGUUAAGUGUGAUUCAACCGCAGACCCAGCAACAUCCACAUCUACCCCUGCAACACCCCCAAGCAGUGCCACCGGCGGAGAACAGUCCUCCGGUGCCAUCGGGAAUUGGCAGCCCCAGUGGAUUGAUAAUCGAAGAUUCACCGAUCGCACCAUCUUCGCAGUACAUCGUGGCGAAGGACGUGUGGAGUAGUGGAGGUGGAGUUUCUGCUGGAGGAGGAGGUGCUAGCAAUUAUCACAACCAUCACAACCACCAACAACAACAGCCAAACCACAAUCAGUACCACCCCUCACAGCCCAUAUCCUCUAGGGAUUCCAGCUCCAGUAGUAGCGGUAGUAGUAGUAGUAACCCUAGUGAUGACCCCCAUCGAUCUCCGCUGGUCCCCGAUAGUAACGAUACUUUCCGUUAUCUUGUCCCAGGGGCUGGCGCCGGAGGUGGUUCCAGCUUCAGCUGGACCUGGUUCUUCAGUGGCAACGAGUGGACACUGAUGGAGUGCUUCUCGCUGCGCAGGACUCACCAUCUGUACUAUCAGAUCGGGAAUGGGUUGUUCUUGCUGGCCUUCCUGGCACCGAACGCUCCCUUCGGGAUGCUCUGGUUGCGCUGUGUUGUGAUCGCCGGUUGCGUGCUGCUGAUCAUCUGGGGCUGGCAGGUCGAGUGCACCGUCGAUGCCGUCAUCUGGGCCAGCCUCUUUCUCAUCAUCAACGCCAUCUACGUGGGAGCACUGCUGUGCAAACUGCGCCCGGUGAAGUUCGAGAAGGAGAUUGAAGCGGUGUAUGUGGCCCUCUUCAAACCGUUGAGGGUGUCCCGGCAUCAGUUCAAGAAGGUGCUGAACUGCAUGAAACUGGUCCGGUCGCUCAAGUACCAGGAGAUCUACGCACAGGAGAAGGUCACCAAGGUGGACAGUCUGUCGCUGGUGCUGUCGGGGAAGCUGGUGGUUUCCCAGAAUCAAAAAGCACUGCACAUCGUCUUCCCGCACCAAUUUCUGGACUCACCCGAGUGGUUUGGAGUGUCCACGGAUGAUUAUUUUCAGGUAUCAAUCAUGGCGAUGGAAGAGUCUCGGGUUCUAAUCUGGCACCGGGACAAACUGAAACUGUCAAUUAUGGCGGAACCGUUCCUGCAGGCCGUGUUCGAUCACAUCCUCGGGCGGGAUGUCGUGAAGAAGCUGAUGCAGGUGACGCAGGUCAGCGAAACGAUGGCCCAAAGCAACGGGUACAUUUCCUCCGGUUACGGUGAGGACGCCGAAGACAAACCGAUGCUGGUGAUGAAGAACAGCAAAUCUGGCGAGAGUAACGGCGGUGGAGGCCACGGGAUCACAGCACUCAUCAACCGGCAGCUGCAGGAAGAAGAGAGUCUACCGCUGCUGCUGAACACGGCCAAUCCGUCACCGUUGAUGUCACUCCAUAUGCGACUGCUGCACUCGGUCGAGAACAAGUUCAUCAAGAAGAUCUACGACGUGUGACGGGCCCCGGGCACCUCAACAACAACGUUUCGAAGUCUAGUCCCUCAAAUUGGUUCAGUUUGAGAUUGUAUUUUUUUACCUAUAUUUGUUUGUUAGUUUGAUCAUACCGCUUUCUUUUGAGAGAGAUUUUUCUAUGUCUACGUGAAAACUAUUUACGUCUUGAAAGCUGCAACGCAAUCGAAGAAGUCUCCUAACAACGACAAUCAACAACAACAACGAAUUCGAACGGAACGUACAGCAACGAACUCCUCAACAAGUCUGACCUAUUUUGUUUUAUUCAUAAUCUGAUUUUGAGCGUAACUUUUUUCGCUCUGCCUAGGAUAUCGAAAUACUACUACUGUGCGGCGGAUCCGAACGCGUGGCGACUCGGCCGAAUCGACGAAACCGACCACGAGACGGCCGUUUAAUAUUAGGCCUGGCGGUGCUCCUCCUCCUCCUCCGGACGGCAACUUCCUCCCAACCAUCAACAGCAACAGCGGCAGUUUUGUCCCCUUGGGCAACCGAUCGGCACCGGUGGUGGCAGCAGCAGCAGCAAUGUCCUGCCGGGGGAUCUGCAUCACGGCAUCAUCGCACUGGAUGUCGACUGGACACGGCUAGAAGCACUGCAGCAGCAGCAGCAGGAGAGGAGGAGCACCGAAUCGAAUGGCAGUGGGUGGUAAAAAGCUGCGCUUUUUACCGUUCCCAGAAUCAAUUAAUUAUUGCGUAAACAGAUCACCUUUCAGGGCGCCGCAAGUAGCAGCAGGUCCGGGCGUCUGUUUCCUCGCUGCGCUAAUUAGUAUUUUGCAAAGAAAAAAAAAAUACCUAUAUACUUUCUUGGCUUAGUUCCUGCGUUCUUUGUUGUACAAUUGUUCGAUAGGAAAUAUUUAUAUUUAUACGUAUAUCUGUAGUUCUUAUAAUGAUGAGUCAAAGCGAAAAGAAGUUUUCCCCCUCAGAUGAACACCCUAGAAGCAGCACUCAUAGAGAAACAAAAGAUGGAAGCCUUGUUGCUGAAUUUUCUUGUGCUAUCUUGUGAUCAAAGGAAAGGAUCCGUGUGUAGAAAUAAACAAACACAAAAUUUCACUAGACAGAAACAGAAUCAACACACAAAGGGUGUAAAAUAAUUAGUCAUAAAAUAUAGUUACUGUUAUAGAUGAUUAUGAUGAAGUUAUAAUCUUGAAGCUCUUGAUGUUAGAAGUUAAAUUUAGUUAACCAGCAGAAGAAAUAAAACCAAACGUUACAAAAAUCUAAAAGAGUUGGGAAUUACAAUUGAAAGGAAAAAACGAAUGGAUGGAAAACAUUCGUUAAAAGUUGUAGGUAGGAUCAAAUAAAAAAACGAGCUAAAACCAAGAGAAUAACAACCUAUAAGCUAAACCAGAGAUUAAUAAAAAAAUCAAUCUAAUCCCGAAGGAGAAUGAAGUUAACUUCCAGUGUUAAUAAUGUAUUGAAACAAUAAUUUAAAAAGAGAAGAAAAAUAACUUAACACGACACGAGCUGAUGACAAGUGAAACAACCAAGGGACGAGCAAAAUGGAACCCAUUACCUUACUACAAGUUUGUUUUCGAGCAAGCGAAAAAAAAGCGAAUGACUGUGUGUUUGUCUGUCAGAAAGAGAGAAAGAGAAACUAUCUUGUAGGUUAGUUAGAUUUAAACGGACUGCUGCAGCGAAAGCAAAGUACGGAACGGCUCUCGGAACGAAAAUGAAACAAAAAAGUGCUAGCGAUACAUACCUAAUACAGAAAAAAAAACAGAGAGAGAUAGAGAUUUAAUCGUUCUAAUCGAAAGAGUAAUUAUUAUUUUAAAAUAAACCAGAGAUACGCCAAUUUGA